Molecule: ribosomal RNA, 366 nt
Filed under: uncultured eukaryote
Lineage: Eukaryota
Description: partial 18S ribosomal RNA
Rfam family: Eukaryotic small subunit ribosomal RNA
Source: RNAcentral
CAAUAGCGUAUAUUAAAGUUGUUGCAGUUAAAAAGCUCGUAGUUGAAUUUCUGGUGGGCGCGCCGGUCUUCCAAGUGUUGUACUGGGCGCAGUCCGCCAUCCUUGUGGAGAGGGCUCGCAUUGAGUUGCGUGCCGGAUCUGCAUCAUUUACUGUGAAAAAAUUAGAGUGUUUAAAGCAGGCUGUCGCUUGAAUACAUUAGCAUGGAAUAAUAAGAUAGGACUUCGGUCUAUUUUGUUGGUUGCGAACCGAGGUAAUGAUUAAUAGGGAUAGUUGGGGGUAUUCAUAUUUAAUUGUCAGAGGUGAAAUUCUUGGAUUUAUGAAAGACGAACUUCUGCGAAAGCAUUUGCCAAGGAUGUUUUCAUUAA